GACGAACCGUGCGAACGUUAUUCGGAAUCACUGGGCUUAAAGCGCGUGUAGGCGGGCGGGGACGUCGGCGCCUGAAAGCCCCCGGCUCAACCGGGGAAGCGGGCCCGGGACGCCCCGCCUCGAGGGACGUAGGGGGACCUGGAACUUCCGGUGGAGCGGUGAAAUGCGUUGAGAUCGGAAGGAACGCCCGUGGCGAAAGCGAGGUCCUGGACGUCCGCUGACGCUGAGACGCGAAAGCCAGGGGAGCGAACGGG
Molecule: ribosomal RNA, 254 nt
Filed under: uncultured Singulisphaera sp.
Lineage: Bacteria; Pseudomonadati; Planctomycetota; Planctomycetia; Isosphaerales; Isosphaeraceae
Description: partial 16S ribosomal RNA
Rfam family: Bacterial small subunit ribosomal RNA
Source: RNAcentral